Molecule: long non-coding RNA, 177 nt
Organism: Thalassophryne amazonica
Lineage: Eukaryota; Metazoa; Chordata; Actinopteri; Batrachoidiformes; Batrachoididae
Exons: 2
Source: RefSeq, a predicted model, not a curated record
GGGGGGGCGCAGGCAGCUCUGCUAGAAAUCUCAGUUGUUUUCUCGAGAUCAUGAAAUAAUUAUCACGGAAUAAAAGUGUUGUUUUCUCGAGAUCUCUAAUUAAUUAUGUCGUUAUCUCGGGAUAACAAGGUGAAUUAAAAAAGAUUAUAUGAAGUCCUCUGUCGGCUUCCAUAUAAA